Molecule: long non-coding RNA, 985 nt
Organism: Pimephales promelas (fathead minnow)
Lineage: Eukaryota; Metazoa; Chordata; Actinopteri; Cypriniformes; Leuciscidae
Source: RefSeq, a predicted model, not a curated record
CACAAAUGUUAAAAUGACUGCGAGACAAAUGAUCCUAUAAUGGAUCCCCAGGGCCUCCACAUGGACAGGACUGUAUAAUAAACAGCCUCCCAACCCACUGAGUGCAGCUGGACUAUUGCUAGAAUCCAGACAAAGAGUGGAAAACCAUGGACACUUCAACCUACAGAGAAACACUUGAAACUAUGUGCCUCUGAACAAAUCCACAUGGACUCCUUUGGAGGAAUGUAGUGAAAGGCGAGAAUGUGGAAAAAAAAAGUUUUUGACCCCCAGAGGAAGUGACCCUGAUAGGAUCAACACACAGCUGAGGAUCCACAGAGGGGGUGCUAUGGGAGAUUAAUUAAAUUACAGAGCUUUUAAAUGAAUUUCAUAUAUUCCUCAUUAGUGUAGAUCAACUGUGUGAUGAUGACAUUAAGAUACGAUCUGGAAGCAUACAUUCAAUUAGUUUUAUCUCCUCGUGUGGCAGACAUUAAUGUGGUUGCAAUAUCACACUUGACAGCCAGUGUUGAAAUAAAGUUGUGUUGACCUUUUGCUUCUGGAACUAAAGAAACUUGAUGUCUGUUUAAUGACAGAGAAAGCAAGACAUGUCUAUCGGAGUGUCCAUCAACAGCAGCCCAGAAUAUUUAUAAGAAAAAUAACUAAAAACGACAGCAGCAGUCCAAUCAGAUUGGAAACCAGUUUUUUGAAAUCGCCUCACUGUUAUUUGGAAUCAGUUACAAUUGCAUGCUCAUUUCCGAUUGCAUUUACAGUAACUGUUUUGCACGUGUGGCAUGUGUUGUAUGUCACUUUUGUUUUCUUGAGCAAAAUGGACAACAUAAAUGGCGAUUGUAGUCUGAUUAACAAAGGUGAGCUACAAUCACAUUAUCCAGGUCUGUAAGUCCAACUUCGCAAAACAAGGACUAAUACGAUCUUAAGUAAGACUAAACAUUCACAUGACAUAUUAAAAAGACAAAUUCAGGUUUUUGUCCAAUUGAAAUCGAGUUCUCUC